GGCUAAGUAAAGUAUUUCCGGAGGUUGGCAGCGUUCCACGCUCUGGGUAGUGGUUCGGCAGUCGAGGUUUCCAAUCGGUAAACACCAGGCUUAACGACCUCGACUAUCUUAUAUGGCCCUUCCCAAUUCGUUCCCAACUUGCCGGCCCUCCAUUCCUUUGUGUUUUCGAACACUUUACGAAGGACCUGAUCGUUGAGUUCCAACGGUCAGGCGCGAACCUUGUUGUUGUAAUAGGAUUCGGCAAGGUGUUGGUAGUUCUGGAUUUGGAGCAACGCUUGGUCUCUUCGCUCUUCGAUCGCAUCCAAGGCAUCAAACAGCAUCUCUCUGUUCAGUUCCUCAUUCCGUGGCAUUUUUGAUCGGCGAAGGCUCGUGACGUUAACUUCUACCGGUGCCAUAGCUUCGACCCCGUAU
Molecule: long non-coding RNA, 411 nt
Filed under: Brassica napus (rape)
Lineage: Eukaryota; Viridiplantae; Streptophyta; Magnoliopsida; Brassicales; Brassicaceae
Description: long non-coding RNA (BNAP_LNC015002)
Source: RNAcentral